AACCUAUAGUGAGGGCACCUUCUCAACAAAUCCUUGUAUCUCUCCUAUGCAUCGUAGAGUGUUUCUAAAUCCAUCUGCACGAAAGAAGUUAUAUCAUUAUGUAAUUU
Non-coding RNA from Gossypium arboreum, 107 nucleotides. Lineage: Eukaryota; Viridiplantae; Streptophyta; Magnoliopsida; Malvales; Malvaceae. The record is from Rfam.